AGCAGCCGCGGUAAUUCCAGCUCCAAUAGCGUAUAUUAAAGUUGUUGCAGUUAAAAAGCUCGUAGUUGAAUUUCGGGAUCAAUAUGUUGGUCGUGCCUCGGUACGUACUAGCUUAUUGGUUUCUCCUUUCUGAAGAACCAUGAUGUCAUUCAUUUGGUGUCGUGGGGAAUCAGGACUGUUACUUUGAAAAAUUAGAGUGUUUAAAGCAGGCUCACGCUUGAAUACAUUAGCAUGGAAUAAUGAAAUAGGACGUUUGAUUCUAUUUUGUUGGUUUCUAGGAUCGACGUAAUGAUUAAUAAGGAUAGUUGGGGGCAUUAGUAUUCAAUUGUCAGAGGUGAAAUUCUUGGAUUUUAUUGAAGACUAACUACUGCGAAAGCAUUUGCCAAGGAUGUUUUCAUUAAUCAAGAACGAAAGUUAGGGGAUCGAAGACGAUCAGAUACCGUCGUAGUCUU
This 452-nucleotide ribosomal RNA is filed under the name uncultured Glomus. RNAcentral's name for it is "SSU rRNA". It matches the Rfam family "Eukaryotic small subunit ribosomal RNA", at positions 569 to 1027 of the family's 1831-position model. The record is from RNAcentral. Lineage: Eukaryota; Fungi; Glomeromycota; Glomeromycetes; Glomerales; Glomeraceae.